Molecule: small RNA, 29 nt
Filed under: Bombyx mori (domestic silkworm)
Lineage: Eukaryota; Metazoa; Arthropoda; Insecta; Lepidoptera; Bombycidae
Description: ovarian small RNA-9846
Source: RNAcentral
AAAACCGAAAACCACGUGGCCACGUGCUU